RNAcentral lists this ribosomal RNA (494 nucleotides) under uncultured bacterium. Its description in RNAcentral is "bacterial SSU rRNA". It matches the Rfam family "Bacterial small subunit ribosomal RNA", at positions 29 to 512 of the family's 1533-position model. The record is from RNAcentral.
AGUGAACGCUGGCGGCAGGCCUAAUACAUGCAAGUCGAACGGCAGCACAGCAGAGCUUGCUCUGUGGGUGCGAGUGGCGGACGGGUGAGGAAUACAUGGGAAUCUGCCCAGUCGUGGGGGAUAACGUAUGGAAACGUACGCUAAUACCGCAUGCGCCCUACGGGGGAAAGUCGGGGACCGCAAGGCCUGACGCGAUUGGAUGAGCCCAUGUUCGAUUAGCUAGUUGGCGGGGUAAAGGCCCACCAAGGCGACGAUCGAUAGCUGGUCUGAGAGGAUGAUCAGCCACACUGGAACUGAGACACGGUCCAGACUCCUACGGGAGGCAGCAGUAGGGAAUAUUGGACAAUGGGGGCAACCCUGAUCCAGCCAUGCCGCGUGAGUGAAGAAGGCCCUCGGGUUGUAAAGCUCUUUUGUCCGGAAAGAAAAGCAUUCGGUUAAUACCCGGGUGUUCUGACGGUACCGGAAGAAUAAGCACCGGCUAACUUCGUGCCAGC